RNAcentral lists this long non-coding RNA (776 nucleotides) under Selaginella moellendorffii. RNAcentral's name for it is "long non-coding RNA (SMOE_LNC002013)". The record is from RNAcentral. Lineage: Eukaryota; Viridiplantae; Streptophyta; Lycopodiopsida; Selaginellales; Selaginellaceae.
GGCAAUCUCUCCGUUCUCGUGCACGCUGGAGGUGCGGCGUUGUAGCCUGUCCAUGGCGCGGCGAUGCUAGAUUGCUGCUAGGAUUCUCUGCUGAUCAAUCCGAGAAGGCGGAGAAGGAGAAGAACAAGAAGCACGGGGAUCACUCUGCUAAAGACUAAGUCAAGAACAAGGAGCAGUCGGCUCGGCGCGGCUUGUGAUGGCGGUGCUGGUGAAGCGAGCAAUUUCGGCCAAAGGUGAGCGUCUAGAGUGUCGUUGAGUGCUUUCAUGGAUAUUCUCACCCUGGCAACCAGAACUAUAGAAGAAUUUGGCGCAGUGGCUUGUCUUUAUUGCUGGAACUCCUCCUUCCUGUGCUGCGUGUGUGUGUGGAGGAUUUGUGGCCAGCCGGCCACUCCGACACGUUAGCGAACUUACUUAUAUCUCGACCGCCAGUGUUUUCUCAUUUCCUUCCUGCGAGCUAUGGCAGGAGGUAGCGAUUCAAGAUCUCUAGAGUUAACUCCUACAUGGCCAUGUGUACGUUGUUCGUUCGUGACGAUCUUUCAUUCAGUGGCUAUCCAGAACAAAGAGGAAACCCCUCUAUGGUUUGUUUGUUCAAUCAGGCUCUGUUGCAAUGUUGUUUCAGAGUUGAUGCUUCUUCCUCAUCACCAUAACUGCGUCUUUCCUUUUUUAAUAAGCAACGCAUGCCUUGUCACCUCCCAUCCUCCGGGAAAGGGGCUGAUCACUUGUUCGUAAGCAAUCGGCGGCGGGAAGUCGCUUCACUAGAAAACACUUGCUCGGAG